UAAAUAAAUAGUAAAUAUAGUAAAUAUAGUAAUAGUAUAUCGAAAAUUUCAUAUCAUUCCCACUAGUCAUGCAGUCUGUCUUGCUACGUGAUAUUGAACAGGAAAUAAUUGACGACUUUUAUUUUAUUUUUCUGAUUUUGCCAAAUUUUUAAUGCGGCCCAAUAGCUGUUUUUCUUGGUUUCAAUCUACCGUGGGAAUAAAAAAUAUAAACCGGGUUUCUUUACCGUUUUCAUAUUACGCCAUCUGUAUUAUGUGGUUAUACGGUAAAUGAAGUGGCACAGUCACAUGCUUUUUUUACUACCGGAAAUUUGUUGACCAGUUCAGCGGCUACUCGAAAAUGGCAAUUCGGUUAAUUUAUAUUGAGGAAAAUUGUCCAUGGAAACAGUUUCUUUGUCUUCUAAGCUUAUCGUCAGGACACAAGGGAUUACGAAACGGCUAGAAGAUAAAUUGUCUGAUAUAUCCAAAGCACAAGUGUCUGUGGCGAAUUUUUACGCAUUCAUACGUACGUGUUCUCAUACAUGGUGUAAUACGUGUUACAUACACAGUUAUAUAGGUAAUAGACGUACAAGCGAUACGCUUCGCGCAACUUCGGCCAUUUCCGAAUCUCCUCGUUACAGAAAGUGGGGCGCAUGCGCCUACCCCGAUCUGUAGUCUUAUUUUCGUGGCCGUACCGUUUAUUACGAUUUACGGCGUGGCCACGGUCGAGCUCGCAACAACGGUUACAGGGCGUCACGGCGCAAGGCGCGAGAUACAGAAAUCGCGUAGAAAGACGAUCGACGCCAAACAGAUAACCCGCUCUUGGCAUUCCUGCAUCGGUUUAUCGUUUGUUUAUUAUUCUGCAGUUCGUCCGCGCGCCUGGUUCGUAAGAGGCUGUCACCGCCAUGCUAACCAUGGCACCAUUACCGUCGCCACGGAAUUAACCCACACACAUAAUAAUCCCACGUACGAACUACGCAUGCACGCUUGAAAAGUUCCCAAAGAAUUCGUAGUGUGGCGUAUGGUAUUGUCUGCCAAGAGAAGCUGAGAAUUCAAUCCUGUCACGUCAAGCUUUGAAAAUCAUCACGAGAGCAGCCGAUCAAAGGACGCCAUUUUAUUUCCGUUUGUCUAGUCCAAACAAGAAACCAUUUCAUCCUCAGUCAUUUCUUACGUAGAAACAGCUUUAUCUCCUGAAGGAGGUUGGUCAGGACUCUUGAACUUGUGGUACCGGUCGACCAAUGGCGUACGCUUCUCGCCCUCGUAGUACGACGACGUAGUACUCCAGGAGAACAGGGUUCAAAGCCCGGUCAACAGGCUCGUACUGGCUCUGACUAUGGACACGACCGUUUCCACUUCAGAGCUGUCGUUGCAUCUCGCAAAUCGGCCAUCUUCCUUGGUACACUCGGUAUAGGCCUGGUGAAUCAUCACGAGAGAUAAGAGGCCAAUAAAAGGAUGCUUCUCUUAGCGAGAGGGGAUGCUGCAGGGGAUACGUGCUUCGGAGAGAAGAUGAGUGCUCCAGAAGAGAAACCGAUUUGUUGAUUGUCCAGCAAGCUAUAUCUGUAUUUUCCGGCAUUCUUGACUCUUGCGAAUGGCACUAGAAAGAUGGACAGGAAGUUUAUUUAAUAAUCUAGAUAUCAACCAGUCAGUUGUCUCAGGGAUGUUUUAGUAUCUUGAGGAGAAUACCUUUUGAUUACACUUCAAAUUCCAUUUCUUUUAAGUCUUUUCAUAAUAUAAUCAUAUGCAGACUAUAUGUAGAUGUGUCGUUUGAGGUUAAUCAUAUUUCUGAAUGUAAACGAGCAAUUA
This is a long non-coding RNA of Cephus cinctus (wheat stem sawfly), 1779 nucleotides long. RefSeq lists it as uncharacterized. The record is from RefSeq and is a predicted model, not a curated record. The transcript has 3 exons. NCBI's taxonomy places the organism in Eukaryota, Metazoa, Arthropoda, Insecta, Hymenoptera, Cephidae.